CCUACGGGAGGCAGCAGUGGGGAAUAUUGGGCAAUGGAGGAAACUCUGACCCAGCGACGCCGCGUGCGGGAUGAAGGCCUUCGGGUUGUAAACCGCUUUCAGCAGGGAAUAAGCGCAAGUGAAGGUACCUGCAGAAGAAGCACCGGCUAACUAUGUGCCAGCAGCCGCGGUAAUACAUAGGGUGCAAGCGUUGUCCGGAAUUAUUGGGCGUAAAGAGCUCGUAGGUGGUUUGUUACGUCGGUUGUGAAAUUCAGGGGCUCAACCCCUGACUUGCAGCCGAUACGGGCAAGCUAGAGUUUGGUAGGGGAGACUGGAAUUCCUGGUGUAGCGGUGGAAUGCGCAGAUAUCAGGAGGAACACCGAUGGCGAAGGCAGGUCUCUGGGCCAAUACUGACACUGAGGAGCGAAAGCGUGGGGAGCGAACAGGAUUAGAUACCCUGGUAGUCCACGCCGUAAACGGUGGGCGCUAGUUGUGCGAACCUUCCACGGUUUGUGCGACGCAGCUAACGCAUUAAGCGCCCCGCCUGGGGAGUACGAUCGCAAGNUUAAACUUAAAGGAAUUGACGG
Molecule: ribosomal RNA, 566 nt
Filed under: uncultured bacterium
Lineage: Bacteria
Description: bacterial SSU rRNA
Rfam family: Bacterial small subunit ribosomal RNA
Source: RNAcentral